UUCUUAUUGGAUAACUGUUGCGUGUCAUGUUCUGAUUGUAUAUCAAUUUCAUGGGAGAUGAAAUGCAUUGUUGUUGUCAUUGGUCAAUCAGAAAAUGACAUGUGAUAAUCAAUAUCA
Molecule: non-coding RNA, 117 nt
Organism: Glycine max (soybean)
Lineage: Eukaryota; Viridiplantae; Streptophyta; Magnoliopsida; Fabales; Fabaceae
Source: Rfam